CGGGAGUUCCCCCGCUGUUGUGCGGCCGACUGCCGGUGCUAGUGUCCCUUCAACUGUUGGCUAUCGUGUGCCUAUCUUUUGACGAGUGCUUGCGUGCUGCUACCAGGAGCACUGGAAGUUGCAUUGCUAAAUGUUGGCUUUGCCGUGCACGCCCCUAGGGGCAUGUCACGUCGACUUUAAAGUGUUCAUGGCGUUGCCUCGUGUAGCUGGCCGYAUAGGCUAGCAGCAUCAAGGCCACCUUAUGAAUGCUAUUGGUCUCGGAUGCGGCUUACUGUAAAGGCCGAAGGUGCUCUGGCGCCUCAUGCCUACAAAAUAUUGUCCGAAUGGAAACAACGACAGUUGGCCUAGCUGAUGCCUCGUGCGGAAGCUAGUGCU
This 375-nucleotide unclassified non-coding RNA is filed under the name Hopia obtusa. Its description in RNAcentral is "partial external transcribed spacer". Lineage: Eukaryota; Viridiplantae; Streptophyta; Magnoliopsida; Poales; Poaceae. The record is from RNAcentral.